This 1346-nucleotide ribosomal RNA is filed under the name uncultured bacterium. Its description in RNAcentral is "bacterial SSU rRNA". It matches the Rfam family "Bacterial small subunit ribosomal RNA", at positions 28 to 1381 of the family's 1533-position model. The record is from RNAcentral.
GACGAACGUUGGCGGCGUGCUUAACACAUGCAAGUCGAACGGAAAGGCCCUGCUUUUGUGGGGUGCUCGAGUGGCGAACGGGUGAGUAACACGUGAGUAACCUGCCCUUGACUUUGGGAUAACUUCAGGAAACUGGGGCUAAUACCGGAUAGGAGCUCCUGCUGCAUGGUGGGGGUUGGAAAGUUUCGGCGGUUGGGGAUGGACUCGCGGCUUAUCAGCUUGUUGGUGGGGUAGUGGCUUACCAAGGCUUUGACGGGUAGCCGGCCUGAGAGGGUAACCGGCCACAUUGGGACUGAGAUACGGCCCAGACUCCUACGGGAGGCAGCAGUGGGGAAUAUUGCACAAUGGGCGGAAGCCUGAUGCAGCAACGCCGCGUGCGGGAUGACGGCCUUCGGGUUGUAAACCGCUUUCGCCUGUGACGAAGCGUGAGUGACGGUAAUGGGUAAAGAAGCACCGGCUAACUACGUGCCAGCAGCCGCGGUGAUACGUAGGGUGCGAGCGUUGUCCGGAUUUAUUGGGCGUAAAGGGCUCGUAGGUGGUUGAUCGCGUCGGAAGUGUAAUCUUGGGGCUUAACCCUGAGCGUGCUUUCGAUACGGGUUGACUUGAGGAAGGUAGGGGAGAAUGGAAUUCCUGGUGGAGCGGUGGAAUGCGCAGAUAUCAGGAGGAACACCAGUGGCGAAGGCGGUUCUCUGGGCCUUUCCUGACGCUGAGGAGCGAAAGCGUGGGGAGCGAACAGGCUUAGAUACCCUGGUAGUCCACGCUGUAAACGGUGGGUACUAGGUGUGGGGUCCAUUCCACGGGUUCCGUGCCGUAGCUAACGCUUUAAGUACCCCGCCUGGGGAGUACGGCUGCAAGGCUAAAACUCAAAGGAAUUGACGGGGCCCCGCACAAGCGGCGGAGCAUGCGGAUUAAUUCGAUGCAACGCGUAGAACCUUACCUGGGUUUGACAUGGAUCGGGAGUGCUCAGAGAUGGGUGUGCCUCUUUUGGGGUCGGUUCACAGGUGGUGCAUGGCUGUCGUCAGCUCGUGUCGUGAGAUGUUGGGUUAAGUCCCGCAACGAGCGCAACCCUUGUUCACUGUUGCCAGCACGUUAUGGUGGGGACUCAGUGGAGACCGCCGGGGUCAACUCGGAGGAAGGUGGGGAUGACGUCAAGUCAUCAUGCCCCUUAUGUCCAGGGCUUCACGCAUGCUACAAUGGCUGGUACAGAGAGUGGCGAGCCUGUGAGGGUGAGCGAAUCUCGGAAAGCCGGUCUCAGUUCGGAUUGGGGUCUGCAACUCGACCUCAUGAAGUCGGAGUCGCUAGUAAUCGCAGAUCAGCAACGCUGCGGUGAAUACGUUCCCGGGGCU